AAGCCAAGCCGGCGGAAGAAGACACCACGGAGGGGGGACCGUUAUCGGGAUCGGCGCUGGCAGAGCCUCUGGGUCGUCAACGGUGCAAACGGGACGAGGGACGACUGACGCUGGAAGAGACGCGAAGAUGACCGGUGGGAAGAGACGCGAAGGUGAUCGGUGGAAAGAGACGCGAAGAUGAUCGGCGGCGCCGCCUCUCGGUGGACCUCUGGUGGCCGUUGAACGGCGAACGACGGUGGAAUCGUGAAGGGG
This 252-nucleotide long non-coding RNA is filed under the name Vigna radiata. RNAcentral's name for it is "long non-coding RNA (VRAD_LNC008328)". The record is from RNAcentral. Lineage: Eukaryota; Viridiplantae; Streptophyta; Magnoliopsida; Fabales; Fabaceae.